RNAcentral lists this ribosomal RNA (288 nucleotides) under uncultured bacterium. RNAcentral's name for it is "partial 16S ribosomal RNA". It matches the Rfam family "Bacterial small subunit ribosomal RNA", at positions 773 to 1060 of the family's 1533-position model. The record is from RNAcentral.
GUGGAUUAGAUACCCUGGUAGUCCACGCCGUAAACGGUGGGUACUAGGUGUGGGUUCCUUUUCACGGGAUCCGUGCCGUAGCUAACGCAUUAAGUACCCCGCCUGGGGAGUACGGCCGCAAGGCUAAAACUCAAAGGAAUUGACGGGGGCCCGCACAAGCGGCGGAGCAUGUGGAUUAAUUCGAUGCAACGCGAAGAACCUUACCUGGGUUUGACAUACACCAGACGCAGUCAGAGAUGGCUGUUCCCUUGUGGUUGGUGUACAGGUGGUGCACGGUUGUCGCAAACU